Molecule: ribosomal RNA, 1068 nt
Filed under: uncultured bacterium
Lineage: Bacteria
Description: bacterial SSU rRNA
Rfam family: Bacterial small subunit ribosomal RNA
Source: RNAcentral
UGGCGGCGUGCUUACACAUGCAAGUCGAGCGAGAAAGCCUCUUCGGAGGUGAGUAAAGCGGCGGACGAGUUAGUAACACGUGAGAAUCUACCCUUCAGUGAAGAAUACCCUCGAGAAAUCGAGGCUAAUGCUGCAUACGUCCUCCUAAAGAGAUUUGGGAGGAGAAAAGUGGCCUCUUGCUGCUGCUGAAGGAUGAGCUUGCGGACUAUUAGCUAGUUGGUGGGGUAAAGGCCUACCAAGGCUGAGAUGGUUAGCCGGCCUGAGAGGGUGCUCGGCAACGCUGGAACUUAGACACGGUCCAGACUCCUACGGGGGGCAGCAGUGAGGAAUAUUGCGCAAUGGGCGAAAGCCUGACGCAGCGACGCCGCGUGGAGGAUGAAGGUUUUCGGAUCGUAAACUCCUGUUAAGUGGGAAGAAAGACUCUUUCUUAAUACGAAAGAGGGAUGACGGUACCAUUAGAGAAAGCACCGGCUAACUUCGUGCCAGCAGCCGCGGUAAUACGAGGGGUGCAAGCGUUAUUCGGAAUCAUUGGGCGUAAAGGGUGUGUAGGCGGCAAUCUAAGUCAACUGUUAAAUGCUCCGGCCUAACUGGAGACCAGCAGUAGAUACUGGGUUGCUAGAGGAUGGAAGAGAGAAGUGGAAUUCUCGGAGUAGCGGUAAAAUGCGUGGAUCUCGAGAGGAACACCGAUGGCGAAGGCAGCUUCUUGGUCCAUUUCUGACGCUGAGACACGAAAGCGUGGGGAGCAAACAGGAUUAGAUACCCUGGUAGUCCACGCUGUAAACGAUGAUCACUAGACGUCAGUCCUGUUUUUACAGAAUUGGUGUCGUAGCUAACGCGCUAAGUGAUCCGCCUGGGGACUACGGUCCCAAGAUUAAACUCAAAGGAAUUGACGGGGGUCCGCACAAGCGGUGGAACAUGUGGUUUAAUCCGACAAUACGCGAGGAACCUUACCUAAACUUGACAUGCUUCCGACAGCCAUAAAAAUACGGUUUCCGAGCUUCGGUCCGGACGGUUGCGCAGGUGCUGCAUGGCUGUCGUCACUCGUGUCUGAAAUGUUGGUUAAGUCCC